AGAGUUUGAUCCUGGCUCAGAAUCAACGCUGGCGGCGUGCCUCAGACAUGCAAGUCGAACGCGAAAGUUCCCUUCGGGGAGCUAGUAGAGUGGCGCACGGGUGAGUAACACGUAGGUAAUCUACCUUUGGAUGGGGAAUAACAACCGGAAACGGUUGCUAAUACCGCAUAAUGCAGCGGCACCUAAUGGUGACAGUUGUUAAAGCGGGGGAUCGCAAGACCUCGCGUCUGAAGAGGAGCCUGCGGCAGAUUAGCUAGUUGGUAAGGUAACGGCUUACCAAGGCGAUGAUCUGUAGCCGGCCUGAGAGGGCGGUCGGCCACACUGACACUGACAUACGGGUCAGACUCCUACGGGAGGCAGCAGUCGGGAAUUUUGGGCAAUGGGCGAAAGCCUGACCCAGCAACGCCGCGUGAAGGAUGAAAUCCCUCGGGAUGUAAACUUCGCAAGAACGGGAAGAAUAAGUAGGGGACAAUACCCCCUAUGAUGACGGUACUGUUUGUAAGCUCCGGCUGACUCCGUGCCAGCAGCCGCGGUAAUACGGGGGGAGCAAGCGUUGUUCGGAUUUACUGGGCGUAAAGGGCGCGUAGGCGGCCACCGCAAGUCGACUGUGAAAUCUCCGGGCUUAACCCGGAAAGGUCAGCCGAUACUGCGGGGCUAGAGUGCAGAAGGGGCAACUGGAAUUCUCGGUGUAGCGGUGAAAUGCGUAGAUAUCGAGAGGAACACCUGCGGCGAAGGCGGGUUGCUGGGCUGACACUGACGCUGAAGCGCGAAAGCUAGGGGAGCGAACGGGAUUAGAUACCCCAGUAGUCC
Molecule: ribosomal RNA, 810 nt
Filed under: uncultured bacterium
Lineage: Bacteria
Description: bacterial SSU rRNA
Rfam family: Bacterial small subunit ribosomal RNA
Source: RNAcentral